AUGGGCCGAGUGAACAAGCCCUCCUCUCUGAAGGUGAUUCCGGAGGAGAAAGCUGACGUGAAGAUGCUGAUGGAGCGUGUAGUUCAGUUGGUUCGGGAGGGAGUGACGGGUAUGGAUCUCCUGGAGGUUUUUCUUAGGCGUCGUAUCCAGCCUCUUCAGUUCCGGAGCCAUUGCAUGUGGUUGUACCGCGGGACUGAGGAUGAGACUCGGGUCAAUCCAGAAGCAGUCGACGAUGCCACUCUGGAAAGGUGGAUGGCCGCUGUUACUGGGAACAAGGAUAACCCUCGUGGAUCCAGAAGGAUUCCUCCACUCGACCACCACAGUGAUCCAAACAAGGUCCUCACUGAGCUGUACUCGAUGCCCAAUGGAGCACAGGCUCCGACUGAGGAGGGAGAAGCGAGCGGGGGCGAGAGCCAGGAGGAGGAGUGGGACUUCGACGCCGCUGAGGAUGAUGAUGAUGACGAUGACGACGAUGAUGAUGAUGAUGAGGACGAAGAAGAGGAGGAGGAGGAGGUCGCACCACCGCGCUCGGAAAGGCGGUCGAAGCUUGUCCAUGACCCUGCGACUGAACGUGGCAAGGGGGUUGCGACUGUUACACAGUCGACCAAGCGCCCUUGGACCACCUCUCCGGCGCCGACUGAAAAGGCGUCAAAGCAGCCCAGGGCGGCCCCGUCAAAGCCGACCAAGCUCCUGCCGAAGAUGAAGGUGUCCAUCCCCACCAUAUCAGGUGCUACUACUUCUGAGACCUCAGCCCGGGCUGACGACCAUGAGAUGGAGGACGCAGCAACCUCAAAACCUGCUCCAUCCAAUGUUGUUAUCACUCUCCCUGAUGAUGAUGAAGAUGAGGAACUGCUGAAGCACAGAAGGAGUAGGAAAACGUCUGCCGGCAGGGUGCCCCAGGAUGUGACGGUGCCUGAGACUCUGGUCGCGGAGGAGGAGAACACCACUCGACACACUGUGUCCUUCGCAGAUCCACUGACGAGUGCUCUGCAGCCCUCCCUCUUCACGACGCACUACGUCCCAGAGGAGCAAGCUGGCGCCGCGAAGGAGGCGAUACGCUAG
Molecule: ribosomal RNA, 1062 nt
Filed under: Triticum aestivum (bread wheat)
Lineage: Eukaryota; Viridiplantae; Streptophyta; Magnoliopsida; Poales; Poaceae
Description: partial small subunit ribosomal RNA
Source: RNAcentral